Molecule: ribosomal RNA, 116 nt
Filed under: Lepisosteus oculatus (spotted gar)
Lineage: Eukaryota; Metazoa; Chordata; Actinopteri; Semionotiformes; Lepisosteidae
Source: RNAcentral
GUAUUAAACCAUAUCACCCUGCAACUCACAACUGGCACCCCACUGAAGCUAAGCAGGGGUGAGCCUGGUCAGUACCUGGAUGGGAGAUCUCCUGGGAAAAACUAAGGUUGUGUUCU